RNAcentral lists this ribosomal RNA (407 nucleotides) under uncultured bacterium. RNAcentral describes it as "partial 16S ribosomal RNA". It matches the Rfam family "Bacterial small subunit ribosomal RNA", at positions 30 to 526 of the family's 1533-position model. The record is from RNAcentral.
AUUGAACGCUGGCGGCAGGCCUAACACAUGCAAGUCGAGCGGAGCGGCGGACGGGUGAGUAAUGCCUAGGAAUCUGCCUGGUAGUGGGGGAUAACGUCCGGAACCGGGCGCUAAUACAGCAUACUAUCAGAUGAGCCUAGGUCGGAUUAGCUAGUGUGUGGGGUAAAGGCCUACCAAGGCGACGAUCCGUAACUGGUCUGAGAGGAUGUUCAGUCACACUGGAACUGGUACACGGUACGGACUCUUACGGGAGGCAGCCGUGGGGAAGAGUGGACAAGGGGCGAAAGCCUGCUCCAGCCAUGCCGCUGCUGUGAAGAAGGUCUUCGGAUUGUAAAGCACUUUAAGUUGGGAGGCGUUACCAACAGAAUAAGCACCGGCUAACUUCGUGCCAGCAGCCGCGGUAAUAC